GAGGAGUUCAGCAUGUCAGGCAGUGUCCGUGGAAGUGAAUAAAACGUCGACAUUUUGGGCCAAGACCCUUCCUCAGGACUGUAAAGGAAAGGAGAAGAUGCCAGAAUACAAAGUACCAGCGACCCCUGUUCAUUCACUGCUGCUCUCUGUAAGGAGUUUGUAUGUUCUCCCCAUGACCGCGUGGGUUUCCUCCCGGUGCUUAUGGAACUGCUUUGAUUUCCUCGUCCCUUUCAAAUGGAUGCUUCAAAGAAUGCACACAACAAAGAGCGAAAUGUAAUGAAAAUCCACCAGUCCCAAUUGUUGGGGAGAAAACGGUCCUGAAAAGAAAACGAAUCUUCUUGCCAAGCUCACGUAGACGAUUAACAAAGGUGGAAGAUCAUCUUAAGAAUACACAUUUUGGAAUACUAAUACUACUUUUUUCCCUCUAUCCAGAGAUUCUUUCUGUCCUUAAGUGUUAUGCCCCUCAGUGUAAAAUCUGCGUGGCCAGAUCUGUAUUGUUUACCAAUAACAUAUGAAACAAGAGUGUUAAAUGCCUUAGUUACAAUUGUCGGUGAUAAUGAAAUACCUUUCAACUGAAGCAUGAGGUUCGCUGGUUGAUAACUCUAGAUUUACUUCCGAAUUCAUUGACUGCGAAGCUGAUGGGGAAAGGGCGUUAUACUAUGUGAAAGUUCUCUGUCCUUUGUUCGCAUCCAUCACUCCCCAAAAAUAAGAGCGUUCUUGCUAUAAAGUUAGCUUUAAAGAUAGAAUUUCUCAGCGUGAUCUAAUUCAGGCUAGCCCUGGAGGCUCUAUUUGUGCGAUACUGUGAUCUGACAGUGUCAAACAGUUGUUGCCAAUAAAUCUCGGAAAUGCGUCUGACUGGUGACUUUGUGUUUCAAGUAAA
This is a long non-coding RNA of Mobula hypostoma (lesser devil ray), 880 nucleotides long. RefSeq lists it as uncharacterized. The transcript has 3 exons. The record is from RefSeq and is a predicted model, not a curated record. NCBI's taxonomy places the organism in Eukaryota, Metazoa, Chordata, Chondrichthyes, Myliobatiformes, Myliobatidae.